UUCACGUGGCAUCUCUGGGCAGAGGGGCCACACCUGCCACUGGACCGCCGGCCCGAGAGCCCGACGCCUGCCGGGCAUCCCCACUGGUGGUGUGAGGACCUCUCUGCUUACCACACCCCAGGCGGGCCCACCUGCCCCACCACGUCCCACAUCCACCGGCUCCCCAUGUUGCCGACGGCCACUCCAUCCUGCCGGGGACUCAGGGCGAGUUCUGAAGCCACUCGACCCCCCCCCUUCUCCCAUCUCCACAUGCAGCCCGUUGGGGAGCCGGGAAGCAGCCCUGUCCCUCCCCGCUACUCACUGCCUAGGUUUGAAAAGACGUCAUCUCCCGCCGAGUAAAUCACGUGCACACGUACAGAAUUUCGUAUAAGAUAAAGACACUGCCAUCAACGGGGAAAAGAUGGUGCCGGGAGUAGAACUGUUACAGAUAAGCUCCCCAGCCCUCUGCCUCUCUCCAGCUUCGGCACCUGGAGCACGGCUCGUUCCGGGAUCUGUGUGCUCUGAGAAGCUCUAGCAGUUCCCCUGCUUGGGAGAGGCAGGGAGGCUGCAGCCACUCUGGGUCGAGAUGCUGUAUUACUUAGAUAAAUAAGGAUUUAGCUUAUAAAAUUGAAGCUUUCCUCCUCCCAAAAUGCAGAAAGUGUUUUCUGAUCUUUCAUUUAGAACUUCUUGUUCCUCAGUGGUUUGCAGAUGGUCACACCCUGUCCAGCCCCAGCCUCGCCCUCCCAGCACCCACGCCCCUGCCCGCAGGCCACCGCUUCCGAGCAGACUCCCCAGCCCUGUGGAGGGAGAAGGCGAGUGGAGAGGAUGCUGCUCCCGAGAUGGGGGCAGGACCCCAGGCUCCAGCGCAUCCCUGUGGACUUCCACGCCUCCUUCAGGCCGGGCCACGGGGACCCCCCACGCAUCUCCCUUGGCUGUGUCUGCCACAGGGGAACCCUUUCCAUGCCCAACGCAAAAGCAAGAAACCACAGGAGAAAAGGCUGGUAAAACUGUCCAUACAGAAAUUAAAAGCAACUAAACAAAGUAUCUUAAUACACAUGGUAAACUGAGGGAAGAAGUAUUUGCAGCACACGAAGAAAGCGAAUUUCCCAACUUCUACACAUCAGUAAGGAAUCGGCUGCCAGCUUGAGACGCACAGGCAGGGACACGCGCCACAGUGAAUAGGACGGCGGGGCCUUUCCACGGCGCGGCAGAAGCCCGGGAGCUCCUGACCAUCUCCACGGCAGCCUGCAACACUCAAGGCUGGUGCUCCCCGCACUGGUCCCAGAGUGCAGAACAGGCAGAGGAAGGGACGGGAAACUGGUAACACCUUUUCGGAGGGCAGCUUGUCAAAUAUCCAAAUUGAUCAGAACCAUAAGAUAGGGUGAAAAAAAAUCAAAGUAAAAAAUUCACCCUGGAGACCAUAUGGUAGCCUAGAACUCUGAUCUAUCCAUUCUGCCUCUAGAUGUUUACCCCAAAGAAUGCAAAGUAACGGCUGAGGAAAUCCUAGACGCCAUGUUCCCAGCAGUGCUGUCCUCCACAGCCAAGAGGCAGCGACAGCCACAUCCGCCAGCAGCCCAGCCAGUGCGGAAAGGAAACGCGGUCGGUGUGCACGGCACGAUGGUCCUCAGCCUUAGAAGGCAGAGAUCCUGCACUUUUGGAGGCCCAGGCAGGCGGAUCACAAGGUCAGGAGUUCAAGACCAGCCUGGCCAAUAUGGUAAAACCCCAUCUCUACUAAAAAUACGAAAAUUAGCUGGGCGUGGUGGUGCACACCUGUAGUCCCAGCUACUCGGGAGGCUGAGGCAGGAGAAUUGCUUGAACCUGGGAGGUGGAGGCUGAAGUGAGCCAAGAUCCAGCCACUGCACUCCAGCCUGGGCAGCAGAGCGAGACUCCGUCUCAAAAAAAAAAAAAAAAAAAA
This 1894-nucleotide long non-coding RNA is filed under the name Macaca fascicularis (crab-eating macaque). RNAcentral describes it as "lncRNA (ENSMFAG00000048054.1)". Lineage: Eukaryota; Metazoa; Chordata; Mammalia; Primates; Cercopithecidae. The record is from RNAcentral.